This 397-nucleotide ribosomal RNA is filed under the name Ornithodoros sonrai. RNAcentral describes it as "partial 16S ribosomal RNA". The stretch from base 89 to 397 matches the Rfam family "Bacterial large subunit ribosomal RNA", at positions 2078 to 2619 of the family's 2925-position model. The record is from RNAcentral. Lineage: Eukaryota; Metazoa; Arthropoda; Arachnida; Ixodida; Argasidae.
CUAAGAGAAUGGUCUAACAAGGAUUAACUCUCUUAUUUUCUAAAAUAGACGUUGAUUUAGAAUGAAAAAAAGUUUUUGUUAAAUUUUGGGACAAUAAGGCCCUAUGAAUUUUUCGUUAAGAAAUUUUUAUAACUAGCUAAAAAGUUAAUAAAAUGUUUUAUGUUGGUUGGGGCGAUUUUUAAGGAUUAUAGAUCUUCAGAAAAAAUAUAUAUAAAAUAGAUCCAUCAAUGGGGGAUAUUUAUAAAAAAUACUCUAGGGAUAACAGCGUAAUAGCUUUGGCUUAUAGAUAAAGUGGUUUGCGACCUCGAUGUUGGAUUAGGAUUCUUCUAAAAUGUAGAAGUCUUAGAAACAAGGUUGCUCAACUUUUAAGAUCUUACAUGAUCUGAGUUCAGACCGG